GCAACCUGGUUGAUCCUGCCAGUAGUCAUAUGCUUGUCUCAAAGAUUAAGCCAUGCAUGUCUAAGUAUAAGCCUUUACACGGUGAGACUGCGAAUGGCUCAUUAAAUCAGAAACUGUUUAUUUGAUAGUGCCUACUACUUGGAUAACCGUAGUAAUUCUAGAGCUAAUACAUGCAAAAAGCCUGGACUUCUGGA
RNAcentral lists this ribosomal RNA (194 nucleotides) under uncultured eukaryote. Its description in RNAcentral is "partial 18S ribosomal RNA". It matches the Rfam family "Eukaryotic small subunit ribosomal RNA", at positions 1 to 194 of the family's 1831-position model. The record is from RNAcentral.